This 318-nucleotide ribosomal RNA is filed under the name uncultured Jeotgalicoccus sp. RNAcentral describes it as "bacterial SSU rRNA". It matches the Rfam family "Bacterial small subunit ribosomal RNA", at positions 28 to 334 of the family's 1533-position model. Lineage: Bacteria; Bacillati; Bacillota; Bacilli; Caryophanales; Staphylococcaceae. The record is from RNAcentral.
GAUGGACGCUGGCGGCGUGCCUAAUACAUGCAAGUCGAGCGCGAAGAUCAGGAGCUUGCUCCUGAGAUUCGAGCGGCGGACGGGUGAGUAACACGUAGGCAACCUACCCUUGAGAUUGGGAUAACUACCGGAAACGGUAGCUAAUACCGGAUACGACAUUCCUGCAUAAGUAAGAAUGUUAAAAGGCGGAUUUAUCUGCCGCUCAUGGAUGGGCCUGCGGUGCAUUAGCUAGUUGGUGAGAUAGUAGCUCACCAAGGCGACGAUGCAUAGCCGACCUGAGAGGGUGAUCGGCCACACUGGGACUGAGACACGGCCCAG